ACACAUGCAGUCGACGGUAACAGGUCUUCGGAUGCUGACGAGUGGCGAACGGGUGAGUAAUNCAUCGGAACGUGCCUAGUAGUGGGGGAUAACUACUCGAAAGAGUGGCUAAUACCGCAUGAGAUCUACGGAUGAAAGCAGGGGAUCGCAAGACCUUGUGCUACUAGAGCGGCCGAUGGNNGAUUAGGUAGUUGGUGAGAUAAAAGCUUACCAAGCCGACGAUCUGUAGCUGGUCUGAGAGGACGAUCAGCCACACUGGGACUGAGACACGGCCCAGACUCCUACGGGAGGCAGCAGUGGGGAAUUUUGGACAAUGGGCGCA
Molecule: ribosomal RNA, 322 nt
Filed under: bacterium ocnta378lb506onp10.8
Lineage: Bacteria
Description: bacterial SSU rRNA
Rfam family: Bacterial small subunit ribosomal RNA
Source: RNAcentral